CUGCCGGCUGGCUCCGUGCCCGUCCACCGAACGGUCGGCAGGCGAUCCGCGUCGGUCGCGCUGGUUGGUAUGGUUCACCAGAGGCCGGUUCUUGUGCUGCCUACCCCUUCAGGGGAAGCGGUCCAUUCGAUGUAAGCCUCCAUCCGGCGCCCUCCAACGGGCGCAGGAGGACAACGGAGCACCCCCCGCGUUCCACCGAGCCUCCGUCGGUCGCGUGGCGCGCGGGGACGUGCGAUGCUCUCGGACCCAGCGAACGCCGUGGGCGAGGACUCACGUCCCGGUCCCGAUAGAAGCUCCUAUAUGAUGAAUGACGGCCGCUCCCGCCCCCCGACCGCCCCGGCGGCGCGGGGGCGAGGCGCGGCGUCGCGGAGGAAUGC
This 377-nucleotide unclassified non-coding RNA is filed under the name Acacia microcarpa. Its description in RNAcentral is "partial external transcribed spacer". Lineage: Eukaryota; Viridiplantae; Streptophyta; Magnoliopsida; Fabales; Fabaceae. The record is from RNAcentral.